Molecule: long non-coding RNA, 1038 nt
Filed under: Bos mutus (wild yak)
Lineage: Eukaryota; Metazoa; Chordata; Mammalia; Artiodactyla; Bovidae
Description: lncRNA (ENSBMUG00000021279.1)
Source: RNAcentral
AUAUUUUGUAAGAAACCGAGGCGAUGCCACGCUUUGCUGCUACUGCCCUGGGCUGGACUGGAGGGUGGGCACGUCACGCCCUCCCGCCCCCACCCACAAACACACCUGGGCAGAGCCACAGGCUGUGGGCACAGCAGGUUGCACCAGAGCCGGUGCCUCGGGGGGCCACCAGGACUCGGGGUUAGGCGCAGUGGCUCAGUGGGGUCAGAACCGCCCCCACCAACAGAGCCCCCCCCAAGGCAGUGCUGGGCCGCCCGUUUGUUCAGCCUCGGGGCGGUGGCCCUCAUUUCUGUGGAGCCGACAUCGGCUUCCAGCCCGGCACCUUGCCAGCCACCUUGGAGCCUCACCAGAUACCCGGAGCGGAGGGCAUCAAUUGGCCUUGGCCAUCCUCCUCUGGGUUGGGAAGGCUCUUUAGUGCCAACUGUGGAGCAAAAGGCAGCUCACCCUGGGCAGGCAGCCCCCACUCCCUCCACCAGCCCACGUCCCAGCCCCGUUCCGCCCCUAGCACACCAGCUGGGCCCCCGGCCCCUGGCAGCCUCCCCUUCCCACCAAGCCCUCCUGGCCUGCAUCGCCCCCUCCCCACCAACCCCACACCUAGCCCAGGGCCCCCUUGCCCUCAAGGGGCUGCAAGGGAAACUCCAGCCCACUCGUACCAGGAGCUGCUACAGGCAGAGCCCCACACUGAGAGGGGCUUCCUGCCCGCACCAGGCCAUGUUCCCCCCCACGGAUCUGGAAGUGAAGGCCCAGGGGACAUGGGGGGAAGAGGCCUUGGUGGUCAGAAAGAGUAAGUGCCUUGGGUGCGGGGAGCUGGGACACAUGACUGGGAGGGGCAGGGAGGGGAUGUGCCUGUCCUGCCCCGUCUGUGGGCGCCCGAGGGCCCGCCUGGAGGCACGCGCCCGCCCCACCAGCAGCCCCCAGACGUGGGGCCGGGACGCCUGGCCCCUGUGUCCUAGAAGGGGCCCUCCUGUGGUCUUUGUCUUGAUCUUUCUUAAUAAACGGUGCUAUCCCCGCCAGGGCUGUCGUCUCCUGUGUCUUUGA